AUUGAACGCUGGCGGAAUGCUUUACACAUGCAAGUCGAACGGCAGCACGGGUGCUUGCACCUGGUGGCGAGUGGCGAACGGGUGAGUAAUACAUCGGAACGUACCCAGUUGUGGGGGAUAACGAGUCGAAAGAUUCGCUAAUACCGCAUACGACCUGAGGGUGAAAGCGGGGGACCGUAAGGCCUCGCGCAAUUGGAGCGGCCGAUGUCUGAUUAGCUAGUUGGUGGGGUAAAGGCUCACCAAGGCGACGAUCAGUAGCUGGUCUGAGAGGAUGAUCAGCCACACUGGAACUGAGACACGGUCCAGACUCCUACGGGAGGCAGCAGUGGGGAAUUUUGGACAAUGGGGAAACCCUGAUCCAGCCAUUCCGCGUGAGUGAAGAAGGCC
Molecule: ribosomal RNA, 387 nt
Filed under: uncultured bacterium
Lineage: Bacteria
Description: bacterial SSU rRNA
Rfam family: Bacterial small subunit ribosomal RNA
Source: RNAcentral